GGGGAUUUAGCUCAGUGGUAGAGCGCUUGCCUAGGAAGCGCAAGGCCCUGGGUUCGGUCCCCAGCUCCCCA
Rattus norvegicus (Norway rat) is the source of this 71-nucleotide non-coding RNA. The record is from Rfam. Lineage: Eukaryota; Metazoa; Chordata; Mammalia; Rodentia; Muridae.